Molecule: long non-coding RNA, 1272 nt
Organism: Mustela lutreola (European mink)
Lineage: Eukaryota; Metazoa; Chordata; Mammalia; Carnivora; Mustelidae
Exons: 3
Source: RefSeq, a predicted model, not a curated record
ACAAACAGAGACAGACGGGAGAGGAAGGGACUUUCACUCACUAAGAUGGGCGCAGUUUCCUGAGAUCUACUAGAAACGGACGCGCCAAGAGGGGAGCGAUUCUCAGGGGCACACGGUUAAUGCCUGGAGAGCCAACUCAGGAUGCAUCCCGGCUACUCUGCAGCUGACUGAACCCAAACAAGGCACUUUCCCUCCCCGAAGUUCCCUCGACCAAUGCCGGACACCCCCAGCUCCUGCAUCUUCUGGGACCUCAAUCCAGGAGACGGGCUUCUCCGCCGGGACUCAGCCACGCCGACUUCUGGCUUCUUCCCAUCAGCUCAUAAAUGCAGCCAAGUCUCCUUGAUCGAAAAGCACCCACACAGAUGAAGGAAAGUAGAAAUAAAAAAGGUGCUCUUCCAGAACACACACCAGCAGCAGCAGCAGCAAAAAAAAAAAAAAAAAAAAAGCCGAAUGAUAAUCGGGGAAGUCUUUGCCACCAAGAGACCAAAGAGCAAUUACCUCGCUGAUGAGCUCAAACAAAUGAAUCAGAAACUCAGAUAUUGUCAUUUCACAAGGUACUACGGUUCCUUUCAUCCAGAAGUUUCCAGCUUGGAGAGGAGUGAAACAAUGCAAACACAGGGCAUUUAGCAGGGCUUUCGAGCUCACCUAGGAGGUCCAACGGGUGGAAGUGCAUUCCGGAGUGAAAGCCGCGCGAGUGCAGAGCUCGGGUGACUCGGCUGGUGGAGCCCUACACCCAGCUGCCUGGAGGGGCGGCAGUGGGUGGGGAGGGUGGUGGUGGGGGGAGGAAAGAGCUGUUCCACAUUUCAAGUUCCUUUUCUCCUGUGCCAGUCCUGUCCCAAAUGUCCCCGGCAGCCCCCUCCUUACUCGGCCUCCUAUCCCAGUUGGGACCUUUAACCUAGACAGCCAGAAGGGCUUCCAUCGGUAUAAGGAAAGGAGACGUAUUUCAGAAUUUCUAUUUGGGAGUCUGUCCUCUAAUACCGUGCUGUCCUAGCAGACAGGUGCCCCAGGCACUAGGAACAAGUUUGGGAGGAAGAGGAACAGGAUUCCAUCUUGCCUCUCCCUUUCUUUUGUAUUUGGGCCGCCUGGGGAGUUCCGCCUAGGGGAUCUCUGAGCAGGAACACCCAGCGAAGACCUAGGUAUGGAGGGUACAGUCAUGGCCAGCCUGGGUCCUGCUUCUGCCAACCCCCGCCAGCGAGGAGCAGGCAAUCACUCAGCAUCUCCGGGGCGGAGGGGAAAGGGUGUCCUCCUGAGGGAAGGGUGGAUGCGGGGGUG